Molecule: long non-coding RNA, 2665 nt
Organism: Vitis vinifera (wine grape)
Lineage: Eukaryota; Viridiplantae; Streptophyta; Magnoliopsida; Vitales; Vitaceae
Exons: 3
Source: RefSeq, a predicted model, not a curated record
AUUAUUCCAAUUUUUAAAUGUCAUUUAUUAACUUGAUCAUAUUGAACUAAUGAGUUUUAUUGUUAAAAUUUUUAUAGCUACAAGCAGAAGGGAGUAUUGGUAGGGUUGAUAGAAGUGUUUUAUGGAAGAAAGCACGUGAGAAGAAAGGAAAGUUUAAUAAGAUUACAGAGCCAGUGAUUAACAUGAUAGUAAGUUAGCAUAUUUAUGCCUUUUAGAACAAAACAUAUUUAUGUUAUACACCAAUUUGUCUAUUAUCCUUUGUAUUAAAACAAUUCAUUUUCUAGCUACCUUGAAUUGGUUGUCUUUGAUUGAUAUGUAAAUCAUCUUCAUCAAAUUAUUACUAAUAUAUGUUUUGUUGUAGGAUGAAUUACUAGAAAAUGCUAAGGAGACUGGACUACCUCCACCUGGUCCAAAUGACAUAUUAGGUCAAGCAUUGGGUAAGCCUGAUCAUCCAGGACGUGUGGUAGGUCAAGACCGUUUGGUUAGGCCUAGCUCAUACUUUCAUCAACCAUCUGAUGACAUGAAAAAAAUCAAAGAAGAAAUAUGGGAAAUGGUACGAAAGGAGAUGGAAGAUGCUGCAACAAGACAAGUUAUGUCUCCCCCCACACCCCAUUCUGAUAUGGGUAGUAAUAACAUGAGACAACAACUUGUUUUACAACCAGUUGUAGCAGAAAAACCAAUGUUUAAAAUGAUAGAAGAGCCCCAACCACCAGAACCACCACUGAAACACAAGGUAUGCAUUUACUUACUAAUAAUACAAGAUUAAUAUAAGUGAUAUAAAGCCUAUGUAAAUGAUAUUAUUUGUUGUAUUGAAGGUAAUUAAAUGCAAAUUAGCAGUGGAAAGAAAAGGAAAUGUUGUUGCAACUGGUACACUAAUAGAAGAAAAAGGAUCGAAUAGGUUGGUUGUAAUAAAUGUUGCACACAAGCCAGAUGCUAGACUCCCAUUUCCAAAUCCAUAUGAGAUUAUCAAUGUUGGGGAUGCUAUUGGCUUUGAGCUUGACUGGCCAACAAGCCUUGUCAUACUUGAAACUGAACAUCCCCAGGUAUGUCAUUUUAUGCCUAUAGUAAAUUUGAUUGUAACUUGGUAUUUUAUUGUUUAAGAGUAUAUAUAUCUAACAUUCCUUCCUUUUUCAUAGGUGUUGGAUAAAGGAAAGAAGAAGAUAGUGAAGACACCAAUUAUUCGAAAAUCUAAGCCUCAAAAUCAUUCGGUCAUUAAAAAUUUUCAGAAAUUUGUGGAUGGUUGCCUUGGUAAUGACAAGACAUACCCAAUACAGCUCCCCAUUUCACUAUUCGGUGUCGAAUUUCAAACAUAUAUAUCUAGAGAGGAUUGUGAAUACAUUAUUUCAUCUUUGGAGGUGUCAUCAAACUGCAUCUCCUUCUAUUUAUGGUGUGCACCUUUUAUUUUCAUUUGUUUUUAUUUUUUUAAUGAGUUGCCCAUGUUGAACAAGAUUGGAUAUGACUAAUGAUAAUUUUCUUUUGGUGUUUUGAUACAAUAAUAGGCACAUGCAUGAUCAAGUACAUAUUGCCAAAAAGGAAUCACAAUUUAUAUUUGUUAAUCCUUUUACAAUAUCACGAGCAGGCCUUAGUACUCCUCAAACAGAGAAAAGAGCACAAUUGUUGUCAAAACGCUUAAUGGAGUGCCAAGAUGCUAAAUAUGUUUUCAUACCCUACAACCCCGAGUAAGUGACAAAUAUUAUACUUUAAUUUGAGGUUUUAUGAUUGAUUUAUAUUUCUAAUUAUAUGCUACUUUUGUUUUUAAUGUUUUAGCUUUCAUUGGGUCUUGGUAGUGAUUGAGCCAAGGAAAAUGAUAGUCCACUAUCUUGACCCUAUGCAUCACAAACCAUGUGAGGACUUAAAGGAUAUCGUAAACAUGGCUCUUCGAAUAUCUGCAAAGAAAACAUCUAAGAGGGAGCCAUCUUGGCAACUAGUGCAGGUGACAUCCAAAAAAUUUUCUUUACACAUUAGCUUAUGCAUUUGCACCAUUUAUAUAUAUGAGUACUAAUGUUAUUUUAUAAUUGAUCGAUUAGUGUCCAAGGCAAGAAGGAGGGUUCGAAUGUGGCUACUUUGUUAUGAGAUUCAUAAAAGAGAUAAUUUUUUAUCCUACAAUUAUUGCUUCAAAGGUAUUACAAAUUUAAUGAAUUGUACAUAGUUUUAGGCUUCCAAAUGUUAUGCAUUUUAAUGUUAUUUUCUUAUUUGAUUUCAGUUUGGUGGUAAAAAAACAUAUUCUCAAGUAGAGUUCGAUGAAAUUAGAGGAGAAUGGGCUACUUUUGUGCUACAACUAAUCAUGAAUCAUGUUGAUGCAUCAUGAUCACCAUGCAUGGUAUACACUUUUGGGAUGGUGGAAUGGAGAAUAAAAAGAAAGAAGAAGGCAACAAGAUUUUGGGUUUUUAAAUGCAACUCUUAUGUCAUACGUUGUAGGACAUAAAUGUUACUUUAAUUAGUACUGAGAAAUUUAGAUUUUUAGAUGGGACUUUUAUGUCAUUUUAUAGUUAGCCGGUUUUAUGCUUAUGAAAUGGAGGUAUACAUGAAUCUUGGGAUCUUUAACAUUUGUAAAUCAUGUUUUGGUAUGUAUUCACUCUUCUUUUUUUAGUUUUGAUGGGUUUGAUUUGGUGGAUGUACUAUCUUUUUGUGAACAUUUGAUAUACAAAUAUUAUUAGAUGAUCAA